Molecule: ribosomal RNA, 429 nt
Filed under: Pseudomonadota bacterium
Lineage: Bacteria; Pseudomonadati; Pseudomonadota
Description: Proteobacteria bacterium partial 16S ribosomal RNA
Rfam family: Bacterial small subunit ribosomal RNA
Source: RNAcentral
UGGGGAAUAUUGGACAAUGGGCGAAAGCCUGAUCCAGCCAUGCCGCGUGUGUGAAGAAGGUCUUCGGAUUGUAAAGCACUUUAAGUUGGGAGGAAGGGCAGUAAGCGAAUACCUUGCUGUUUUGACGUUACCGACAGAAUAAGCACCGGCUAACUCUGUGCCAGCAGCCGCGGUAAUACAGAGGGUGCAAGCGUUAAUCGGAAUUACUGGGCGUAACGCGCGCGUAGGUGGCUCGUUAAGUUGAAUGUGAAAGCCCCGGGCUCAACCUGGGAACUGCAUCCAAAACUGGCGGGCUAGAGUAGGGCAGAGGGUGGUGGAAUUUCCUGUGUAGCGGUGAAAUGCGUAGAUAUAGGAAGGAACACCAGUAGCGAAGGCGACCACCUGGGCUCAUACUGACACUGAGGUGCGAAAGCGUGGGGAGCAAACAGG